Molecule: ribosomal RNA, 207 nt
Filed under: uncultured bacterium
Lineage: Bacteria
Description: partial 16S ribosomal RNA
Rfam family: Bacterial small subunit ribosomal RNA
Source: RNAcentral
CUCGUAGGCGGUUCGUCGCGUCCGGUGUGAAAGUCCAUCGCUUAACGGUGGAUCCGCGCCGGGUACGGGCGGGCUUGAGUGCGGUAGGGGAGACUGGAAUUCCCGGUGUAACGGUGGAAUGUGUAGAUAUCGGGAAGAACACCAAUGGCGAAGGCAGGUCUCUGGGCCGUCACUGACGCUGAGGAACGAAAGCGUGGGGAGCGAACA